GAUGAACGCUGGCGGCGUGCCUAAUACAUGCAAGUCGAGCGAACAGACGAGGAGCUUGCUCCUCUGACGUUAGCGGCGGACGGGUGAGUAACACGUGGAUAACCUACCUAUAAGACUGGGAUAACUUCGGGAAACCGGAGCUAAUACCGGAUAAUAUAUUGAACCGCAUGGUUCAAUAGUGAAAGACGGUUUUGCUGUCACUUAUAGAUGGAUCCGCGCCGCAUUAGCUAGUUGGUAAGGUAACGGCUUACCAAGGCAACGAUGCGUAGCCGACCUGAGAGGGUGAUCGGCCACACUGGAACUGAGACACGGUCCAGACUCCUACGGGAGGCAGCAGUAGGGAAUCUUCCGCAAUGGGCGAAAGCCUGACGGAGCAACGCCGCGUGAGUGAUGAAGGUCUUCGGAUCGUAAAACUCUGUUAUUAGGGAAGAACAAAUGUGUAAGUAACUAUGCACGUCUUGACGGUACCGAAUCAGAAAGCCACGGCUAACUACGG
Molecule: ribosomal RNA, 496 nt
Filed under: uncultured bacterium
Lineage: Bacteria
Description: partial 16S ribosomal RNA
Rfam family: Bacterial small subunit ribosomal RNA
Source: RNAcentral